UACGUAGGGGGCUAGCGUUGUCCGGAAUCAUUGGGCGUAAAGCGCGCGUAGGCGGCCCGGUAAGUCCGCUGUGAAAGUCGGGGGCUCAACCCUCGGAUGCCGGUGGAUACUGUCGGGCUUGAGUACGGAAGAGGCGAGUGGAAUUCCUGGUGUAGCGGUGAAAUGCGCAGAUAUCAGGAGGAACACCAAUUGCGAAGGCAGCUCGCUGGGACGUUACUGACGCUGAGACGCGAAAGCGUGGGGAGCAAACAGG
Molecule: ribosomal RNA, 253 nt
Filed under: uncultured bacterium
Lineage: Bacteria
Description: partial 16S ribosomal RNA
Rfam family: Bacterial small subunit ribosomal RNA
Source: RNAcentral